GGAGAGAUAGAAAGACUCGGACCUCAAUCUCAGUCCUCCUCUCUCUCUCAAAAUCUCCAAGGACCGGUGCCGAAAGAUUCUGGUCGAUCUGCCGAAAGCCCAAGCAUAUAUUCAAAAGUCCGAUGCCGACACAAGGACCGUGGUGCUUCUGGUCGAUGACGGCGGCGAGAAGCGUAGCGAUGUGAGCUCGUCGGUGUCGUGAAUUGUUGAAUGAGUGAUUGUUCUGGUGAUUUCAAAGAGCAGCAAGAACCAACGGUUUCGUAAUGGCAAGCAAGUUCAUCACAUGGACAUUGAUAAGGAACUCCUUGCCGCCCCAAUCAAAUCUGCCAAGGACAAAUUCACACUCAUUCCCGAGUUUCUAAAGGUGAGAGGGUUGGUAAAGCAGCAUUAGGACUUGUUUAAUUACUUUGUGAACACUGGAAUCAAGAAAAUUGUGCGUGCCAAUGAUCGCAUAGUAUCCGGCGUCGAUCCAAGCAUUUGGCUCAGUAUCAUUUCAGCUAGAGAAUACUCAGUAUCAUUUCAUAUUGAACAUGAAAAGCUGUUGGGGGAUUGUAAGGAGACUUGGGAGCUCUCGGUUGAUGGGUAUGGAGAAGACGGGAAGCGGAUAUAUGAUCCGGUUAAGGGUGAAACUUGCCACCAAUGCAGACUCAUGGUGUGCGGUUUGGGCGAGCAAGUGUAAGAAGGCUAUUGGUUUUGCUGAGCUAGCUCCAGGAAACAAAACUGUCCACCUAGCAGCUCUAAUGGGAGGUGAAGGAUUAGAAAAAGGUCCUUAAUUUUUUAUCUAAUCUUCUGUAAUGUGAUAUAACCAUUCGCUAACUUAUGGGAGGUAAUGUGAUAUAUUGUGAUACCAUGUGGAAUAUUGUGAUAGAUAUGAUUCGCUAACUAAUCAAUUUUAUUAGUCAAAGGAUAAAAUGAUGUAAUGAGGUUUAGUAUAUCAUUAUUACACUUUUUGUAAUAUGAUUAUUGUGGUUGGUUAAGAUAAUUUUGAUGAA
Molecule: long non-coding RNA, 992 nt
Filed under: Rosa chinensis
Lineage: Eukaryota; Viridiplantae; Streptophyta; Magnoliopsida; Rosales; Rosaceae
Description: sRNA RchiOBHm_Chr1g0358801
Source: RNAcentral